Molecule: long non-coding RNA, 1862 nt
Organism: Helianthus annuus (common sunflower)
Lineage: Eukaryota; Viridiplantae; Streptophyta; Magnoliopsida; Asterales; Asteraceae
Exons: 2
Source: RefSeq, a predicted model, not a curated record
CCCCAACCAAGCCAACUUUCUUUCUCCUACACCCUCACUGCCGAAACCCCUCCCCACCAUAGCUCCUCCAUUACACCUCCAUCCCUCCACCAAAUCUCCACCAUUUUCCUCCGUUCGAACACCCCUGUGACCCGAAUCUAAACCCGAACAAAACCCCCAUAAAAAAUUACCAUCCGACCGUCAUAUCGGUCUGAUUCGGGAUUUACCUCGCACAAAAGUUUCAAUUUUUCUUGCACCUUUCAUCGAUUCAGGCAUGGCUAGUAGUUCUCGCCGAGGUAAAGGGAGAAAGACAGGAGAGGGUCAGUCAGCACCGCAGCAAGAUCCGGUUCCUCAAGAAACACCGAUUAUUCAAAUAGCGGCCGAUGAUCCGAAACUGAGGAAGAUUAAAUAUUAGUCGUCUUUUAACUUUAUUCCGGAUCAGAAAAUGCACAGAGCUGACCACCCGAUUUUGAAAUUUGAACCGAUGAUAGCAGAAUGGAAUAAAUAUGAUAAGCUGAAUGACACUGAGCUACUUCAGCAUCGGGUUAUCGAUUGGGGUUGGUUGGAGGAGAUAGGUUCAUUACAGGAAGUGCAGGACCUUGUGGAUCCUAAGUUAUCUAACGCGUUGGAGUGCACACAGCCUCAGUAUGAGGAGUUAGUACUGGAGUUUCAUAGUACGUGGUUACAUAAGGAAAGGAAGUUCGAGCAGGGCACAACUGUGUCGUUUAGUUUGGGUAGGCAAGUGUAUGAAAUGAAUAUGGCGCGGUUUGCUAUAGUUUCGGGGUUGUAUACCGAAGAGGGGGUGAAGAGGCCGGAGUUUGUUACUUGCUUGAGGGUGCUUAUAAUAAGCCGAGGGAUUAUAGUGUCGAUGCGACCGAGUUGAGAGAGUUUUGGAGUACGAUUUCCGAUCAUCCGUUUGCGACUACGAACCUGAUCACGUCGGUUCGUAACCCGGUGUAUAGGUAUGUGCUGAAGAUCUUGUCUACUACACUUGUAGGUCGGAAGUCGGGGGAGAACAAAGCAAUCUGGAUAGAGUUGUUUAUCUUGAUGUGUAGAGUGCAGAAGAGGGAGAUGAAUCUGGCUACGGUCUUAGCAGAUUCGUUUAGUAGAGGUCGUCGAGGUGGUAUUCGUGCUGGGUUGGAUAUUGGCCCCUACAUCACUAGGAUUGCAAAAAAUUUGGGGGUGCUUGACAAAUAUCUGCCCGAAUUUUUACACGAGGGGCCUAAGACGGUGACCUUUGGGUUGAAGGAGCUGCAGCAGGCAGGCAUAGUGUCAUGGCAGGGACCCUACGGCUGGGAGCCGAUCAGACAGGGUCCACAGGUUCAGCCGCCACAGGGACAUCCGGCUCAGGAUGUCAUGAUUCAGAUUGAGCCGACACAUAGGCAGCGACCACCUCUGUGACACGAGCUGUCAGCACGUCAGUACCCGAGGAGGCAGCCUCCACCAGUGCCUCUUACUUUGGAGUCGUUCUCUGUGUAUGUGGAGCAGAGGUUCGACAGGCUGGAGCAUUUGAUCGAGUCACUUCGGGUGGGCUAGCCGAGGCAGCAGGAGGGCCCGACUGGUGAGGAUGCGAGAGUUGAUCCAGAGCCUUCAGUUCAGGUAGUUGGAGAGAGCAGUGGUGCAGCUGGGCAGCAGGAGUAGUUUAGACAUGGCACGAGGAUGUAGGAGCAUCGACUGAUACUAUAUCUUUUGCUGAUUAUUUUUCUUUUAUGCUAUUUUUGAUCCUCAUACUUUUGGUAUGUACUGAUAUUUAUACAUGUUAAACAGGUUGGUUAGGGUGGCUGGGUUGGUUGAUGUGAUGAAACUGAUGAACUACUGAUGAAUUUGAUAUAUAUAUAUAUAUAUAUAUGACAUAUUUUGCUAGUUUGUUUGAUGAUUGAUAA